CACUGGAGAUUUUAAUCAGGCAACUAUAUAUCAGCAAAAGGCUUUGGAUAUUAAUGAGAGGGAACUUGGGCUUGACCAUCCAGAUACAAUGAAAAGCUUUGGAGAUCUUUCUGUGUUUUAUUAUCGUCUUCAACAUAUUGAGUUGGCUUUGAAGUAUGUGAACCGUGCUUUGUUCUUUCUUCAUUUUACCUGUGGACUCUCUCAUCCUAAUACUGCUGCAACAUACAUCAACGUGGCUAUGAUGGAAGAGGGCAUGGGAAAUGUUCAUGUUGCUCUUAGAUUUCUGCAUGAAGCUCUAAAGUGCAAUCAGAGAUUAUUAGGAGUAGAUCACAUACAGACAGCUGCAAGCUACCAUGCGAUAGCCAUAGCUCUGUCAUUGAUGGAAGCAUAUUCGCUCAGUGUUCAGCAUGAGCAAACUACACUAAAGAUACUUCAAGCAAAACUUGGACCAGAGGAUCUUCGUACGCAGGAUGCUGCUGCAUGGCUUGAAUAUUUUGAAUCCAAGGCUCUAGAGCAGCAAGAAGCAGCACGAAAUGGAACUCCAAAGCCAGAUGCAUCUAUUGCAAGCAAAGGUCACCUUAGUGUAUCAGACCUCUUGGAUUACUUCAGUCCCGAUUAAGAUUCUAGAGGAAGUGAUGCGUAGGAGAAACAGCGGCAUGUGAAGGUAUUGCAGAUAAAUGAUAAAGCCCUUCAAGGCCAUCAAAAUGAAAUGGUUGAAGAUGUCAUGUUCCAUGAAAGAUUGGAAAGUGCAAUGUCUUUAGCUAGUGGCAACAAAGAAGCAAAGGUAGACAUGGUUCAAUAUGAAAAAUCUGAAGAAAAAGAUAAUGUUGUUAUAUACAGGCCCACAGUUGCAGUUGAAGUUGUUGAAGAAACAGCAUCAGAUGAAGUUUGGCUAGAAGCCAAUCCAAAAAGGAGGUUGGGGAAUGCUCCUGGCAGGAAAUCAGGUCGUAGGCGACCUGCUCUUGCAAAGCUGAAUAAAAAUGGUUCUGAAUACCCAAAUAUCAGAGAAAGCAGUUACAGGAGGGAAAUCAUUUCACCAGCUCAAAAAACAAUUCCCAGGACCAUUACAACUGAAUUAUCAGCAACAAAGCAAUCAAAUACACGUGGGUUGAGUGUUGUGGAGGAUUCAAUUAAACUGCAGGAAAAAUCUUGUGUGCCUAAAACGUCAUGUUCUUCAGCAAACCUCUCUGCUAUGGCUUCUAAAUCUGUAUCUUACAAAGAAGUGGCUGUUGCACCGCCCGGUACAGUUUUGAAGCCAUUACUGGAACCAGUAGAAGAAACGAAUGAGAAAAAUCCUGAAACUCAAACAUGCAGCGUCCCUCAUGAGACAUCAAUGGAGGAGGAAAGCAACAAUAUCUCUGUUGUUGAUAGUGUGCCAGAUGAUGGUGAAACAGAUGAAAUUCAUGAUAGUGGAACUGAGUCAGAAAAAUCUGGAUCUGAGCUUGAUGAGACUCCUACAUCCAAUCAGGAAAAGUCAGAUGAAAAAAAUGGAAGUAAGCUUUCAGCUGCAGCUGAACCAUUCAAUCCAGGAACACUGUCCAUAGUUCACCCAUUAAACUCAGUUGCCAUGACAAGCAUUUAUGAUGUAAGAGCUAGUCAAAGCAUGCUUGCAGAUGCAGCGGCACCUCCACUUGCUGCUAGAGUUCCUUGUGGGCCUAGAUCGCCACUGUUCUAUAGAAAUAAAAGAGCAUACCGCAUGAGACAAGCUUUGCUGAAACAUCAAACUCCCCUGACAAUGCCUUCAAGGAGCAUGAAUCCACAUGCACCUGAGUUUGUACCCAGGAAAGCUUGGCAAACAUAUCCUGGAAAUAGAGAUUUAAAUGUUCCAAAUGAGUCAAACUAUAUGCUUGAAAAGAGCAAGGCAGAACAGGAGUUAUUAGACGAGGAAUCCAGCAAUAGAGUCAAAGAUGGUAGUCCAAGAAAGACCAGCUGUGAGUUUGAGAAGGCGGAACUUGCAAGGCAAAUAAUUCUAAGCUUUAUUGUGAAUUCAGUUCAGCACAAUGUUGAUUCUGGAAGUGAGCCUGUACUCGGCGAGAAGAAGUUUGAAAGUCCUUCGGAUGCAAUUGCCAAUGACAGUGCAAUUAUAAAAGUCCUCUAUGGAGACGAAGAAAAGACAGACCAGGUUACUCAGUCAAAUGAACAUGAGCAGUCAAAAGCAAUAGAUGAAAAUAAUAAGAAAAAUGAAGAUGGUGAAGGUUUUAUUGUUGUUAGAAAUCGGAGACGAAACAGGCAGUUCACAAAUGGGGUAACCGGGUUGUACAAUCAACAAUCAAUCUGUGCUUCUGUUCGUUGAAGAUAGAGACAAAAAAAAAAAAGAAGAAUAAGCA
Molecule: unclassified non-coding RNA, 2327 nt
Filed under: Hevea brasiliensis (rubber tree)
Lineage: Eukaryota; Viridiplantae; Streptophyta; Magnoliopsida; Malpighiales; Euphorbiaceae
Source: RNAcentral